UGCCAUGGUUCUGUGAACUCUGCUUCAAGA
RNAcentral lists this non-coding RNA (30 nucleotides) under Mus musculus (house mouse). The record is from RNAcentral. Lineage: Eukaryota; Metazoa; Chordata; Mammalia; Rodentia; Muridae.